CUCAACCGGGGAGGGUCAUUGGAAACUGGGAGACUUGAGUACAGAAGAGGAGAGUGGAAUUCCACGUGUAGCGGUGAAAUGCGUAGAUAUGUGGAGGAACACCAGUGGCGAAGGCGACUCUCUGGUCUGUAACUGACGCUGAGGCGCGAAAGCGUGGGGAGCAAACAGGAUUAGAUACCCUGGUAGUCCACGCCGUAAACGAUGAGUGCUAGGUGUUAGGGGUUUCGAUGCCCUUAGUGCCGAAGUUAACACAUUAAGCACUCCGCCUGGGGAGUACGACCGCAAGGUUGAAACUCAAAGGAAUUGACGGGGGCCCGCACAAGCAGUGGAGCAUGUGGUUUAAUUCGAAGCAACGCGAAGAACCUUACCAGGUCUUGACAUCCUUUGACCACCCUAGAGAUAGGGCUUUCCCCUUCGGGGGACAA
Molecule: ribosomal RNA, 425 nt
Filed under: uncultured bacterium
Lineage: Bacteria
Description: bacterial SSU rRNA
Rfam family: Bacterial small subunit ribosomal RNA
Source: RNAcentral